AGGAAACGUAAAACUGCUUCGUUUGCUUGAAGUUGUUAAAAAGUGCAUUUCUGAAAUAUUAUAUCCUGUGUAGUUGUGAAAAUUUGAUUUCUUGAACAGUAUCCGCUUGUUCACUGUUAAAUGUCAGGCUAAAUCAAUUUGUUUGUUCGAGAAUAUCAUAAGAUAUUCUUUAUACAUGAAGCACGAUCAGUAUUCCAGAGGACCAAUUAUUUCCUUUGCCGUUAAGAUCACACGAGCUGUUCUGAGUUUGUUUUUUAAACGAAGAUAUACAAAAGGAAGUUUUUUUCAACACCACUAGAAAAAUCAUGGAUCCUAUACUGUGGCUAAUGAAUGAAUUCGAAUGUCGCUUAAUUAUUCGGGUAAAACUCAGGAAUCACAACUUCUACUUGGUUCUGAUCGUCCAUGUUAUGAAGCACCUAUGAAACCAUUCAAAAAAAUGGAAAAAUAUAAUCAGAGUCCUUGACCAGCUUCCUCUUACUUAGUCGAUGGCUUCCGCAAUGCAUCCAGCAGUUCGUAACUGCGACGAUAUCGUCGGUUGAGGGCCCUUCUCUUGGCUUCGGAAUCUUUGAUUGCGUCCAGAUCUUCUGGGUUUUGCUCUCGAAAUGGUUGAAUAGCCAAUGAAACAUAUCGUUACGCCAGCUCACACAUUUCUCUUUAACUCCUAAACGGUCCGAGCUGAGUUCAACACAAUUUAACACCGUCUCCAAUCAAAAAUGGUGCUGUUUUAAUCUACUAAAAUUUCAUCAUAACCAUAUGAAGCCCUUCGUAACUGAAAUUAAAAUCGACUAUACCAUAUUUUACAUUAUUUCCUUGAUAAGGUUUUCCUUUGAGAAUUCAUACAAUUACUAAUUCAGAAUACAUUAUACAAUUCUUUACACCACAGACUUUUAUUCAUUCUUCUUACAAAAUAUACCCUCGAUAUAAAUCGGU
Molecule: long non-coding RNA, 930 nt
Organism: Uranotaenia lowii
Lineage: Eukaryota; Metazoa; Arthropoda; Insecta; Diptera; Culicidae
Exons: 3
Source: RefSeq, a predicted model, not a curated record